CUGUAUAUGUCAAGAGACUUAAACCUCUCUGAUCAUCUACACGUUUUAAAAUGUUUAAUUUCACUGCACGCAAGUCUACAGAAAGAGGAACAAACUGAGCAUUUUACCAAAGCAAUUAACAAUUAAAGUUUUCAAGGCAAUCAAGAAAAUAAAUAGUUCAUGCCGGCUGGGUGAUUUUCAUUCCAGGAAAAGUUAUCUCCAAUCAGCAUCAGAACGGGACUAGAGGUGAAGAGUCUUUUUGAAGGUGACCACUGUUCUGGGCUGUAUAAGCAUAAAGCCCCUCCUCUUGGGGAAAUGCUAUCUGUUGGCCUAUUCAUCUACUUUCUGAUGGUCUGUGUGUACCAAGAAAAGGAGAUCUGGGAACUAAAGAGCAGACAGGGACUGACCACAGAGGUCGCCGGUGGUAACACAGAGGUUGGACUGUACGUCCCGCCCAUGUAAGGGCAAUGCCACGUGGAGAAUGCCACAGCAGUUCCAGCGGAUAACAGAGGAUGCCCUGUCUCCACGCUGGAAGCAGGAAGGAGGGCCAAUCCUGGGUCUGAAUUACUCCUCUUCAACCCCGUCAGCCCCAAACAAGAAAUGACUCCUGUCUGUUAUGUCUGGGGUAAAUAAGGCUAAACAAAAUUAUAAAUUAAAUGCAGUUUGUCCACUA
This is a long non-coding RNA of Camelus dromedarius (Arabian camel), 652 nucleotides long. RefSeq lists it as uncharacterized. The record is from RefSeq and is a predicted model, not a curated record. The transcript has 2 exons. NCBI's taxonomy places the organism in Eukaryota, Metazoa, Chordata, Mammalia, Artiodactyla, Camelidae.